CAGAGAGUUUGAUCCUGGCUCAGGAUGAACGCUGGCGGCAUGCCUAACACAUGCAAGUUGAACGGGUUUUGCAAGGCACAGAGUAUUUUGUUAUUUGUUUUUUGAAAAAUAUCGGAAUUCUGUGUGCUUUGUGAAAUCAGUAGCAAACGGGUGAGUAACGCGUGAGUAAUCUGCCUAUCAAAAGGGGACAACGUUUGGAAACAGACGCUAAUACCGUAUAGAAUAUGUAUUUCGCAUGAUUUAUAUAUGAAAGAAGUAAUUCGUUGAUAGAUGGGCUCGCGUCCGAUUAGCUAGUUGGUGAGGUAAUUGCUCCACCAAGGUUACGAUCGGUAGCCGGACUGAGAGGUUGAACGGCCACAUUGGGACUGAGAUACGGCCCAGACUCCUACGGGAGGCAGCAGUGAGGGAUAUUGCACAAUGGAGGAAACUCUGAUGCAGCAAUGCCGCGUGAAGGAAGAAGGUUUUCGGAUUGUAAACUUCUGUUCUUGAUGAAGAAAAAAAUGACGGUAAUCAAGCAGCAAGCUCCGGCUAACUACGUGCCAGCAGCCGCGGUAAUACGUAGGGAGCAAGCGUUAUCCGGAUUUAUUGGGUGUAAAGGGUGCGUAGGCGGUCAAGUAAGUCAGACGUGAAAUCUAUAAGCUUAACUUAUUAAAUUGCGUUUGAAACUGUUUGGCUUGAGUGAAGUAGAGGUAAACGGAAUUUCUAGUGUAGCGGUGAAAUGCGUAGAUAUUAGAAGGAACAUCAGUGGCGAAGGCGGUUUACUGGGCUUCAACUGACGCUGAGGCACGAAAGCAUGGGGAGCAAACAGGAUUAGAUACCCUGGUAGUCCAUGCUGUAAACGAUGAUUACUAGGUGUGGGGAGACUGAUCUUUUCUGUGCCGGAGUUAACACAAUAAGUAAUCCACCUGGGGAAUACGGUCGCAAGAUUAAAACUCAAAGGAAUUGACGGGGGCCCGCACAAGCAGUGGAGUAUGUGGUUUAAUUCGACGAUACGCGAAAAACCUUACCAAGUCUUGACAUCCAACUAACGAAGUAGAAAUACAUUAGGUGCCUUUCGGGGAAAGUUGUGACAGGUGGUGCAUGGUUGUCGUCAGCUCGUGUCGUGAGAUGUUGGGUUAAGUCCCGCAACGAGCGCAACCCUUACGGUUAGUUGCUACGAAAGAGCACUCUGACAGGACUGCCGUUGACAAAACGGAGGAAGGUGGGGAUGAGGUCAAAUCAUCAUGCCCUUUAUGACUUGGGCUACACACGUACUACAAUGAUUGUAACAAAGAGAAGCAAGAAAGUAAUUUGGAGCUAAACUCAUAAAAACAGUCUCAGUUCAGAUUGUAGGCUGAAACUCGCCUAUAUGAAGAAGGAAUUGCUAGUAAUCGCGAAUCAGCAUGUCGCGGUGAAUACGUUCCCGGGCCUUGUACACACCGCCCGUCACACCAUGGGAGUCGGUAAUACCCGAAGUCGUUUGUCUAACCUGAUUUAUCAGGAGGAUGGCGCCUAAGGUAGGAUUGACGACUGGGGUGAAGUCGUAACAAGGUAGCCGUAUCGGAAGGUGCGGCUGGAUCACCUCCUU
Molecule: ribosomal RNA, 1567 nt
Filed under: Candidatus Paraimprobicoccus trichonymphae
Lineage: Bacteria; Bacillati; Bacillota; Clostridia
Description: bacterial SSU rRNA
Rfam family: Bacterial small subunit ribosomal RNA
Source: RNAcentral